This 550-nucleotide long non-coding RNA is filed under the name Brassica napus (rape). RNAcentral's name for it is "long non-coding RNA (BNAP_LNC023366)". Lineage: Eukaryota; Viridiplantae; Streptophyta; Magnoliopsida; Brassicales; Brassicaceae. The record is from RNAcentral.
UUUGGGUUAGGUUGUAGAUGGAUGUGUAAAAGAAGCAGUAUAUUGAUAAAAAAAAAUAUAUAUAUAUAUUUCCAAAAUCAAAAGAGCGAUUAGGUUAAAAAAAUAAAGGAUUUCUAAUCAUCUUGUUUUGUUAUUUUAUAAUAUAACGAACAGAAACCUAUUAAAGAUAGAGAAUCCAGUUAGCAGUCUACCUGUUUAUGAGGUAUUUAGUGCUUUCGAAAUCUAAUACCUUAUUUUUUUUAAUUAAUGGGUUUACCCAUUUUUUGUUUGAGGUGAAUUCAAAAUUGUGGAUGAGGUGAUUAUCCAGUUAGCAGUCUACCUGUUUAUGAGGUAUUUAGUGCUUUCGAAAUCUAAUACCUUAUUUUUUUAAUCAUUCCGGAUAACGCUUGCAUCCUCUGUAUUACCGCGGCUGUGAGUUAGCCGAUGCUUAUUCCCCUGAUAUUAAACAAAUAAAGGAUUUCUAAUCAUCUUGUUUUGUUAUUUUAUAAUAUAACGAACAGAAACCUAUUAAAGAUAGAGAAUCCAGUUAGCAGUCUACCUGUUUAUGAGG